AGGGGAAUUGUGAGGAUUAUAAGGAUGUGUACAUGAGUGACGUGGGGCUGAGGCGAGGAUCGAAGUGCUUGACAGGUACAGAGCCAAGGGCAUAAAUUGAUGCAAGACUGCAAGGCAGAUGGGGGAAAUGAGGACUAAGGCAGGAAAGGUGAAAUGCCCAUGGGAGGACUUCAGAAUUUAAAGCACUUGUCCAAAGCCACAUUUUGAGCUUGCCCGGUGAAGGUGCACAGAAAGCACCCGAACAGGGUCUGGUUGCAGGAGUUGGCUUGUUUCAGCGGGAGCCAGAGACAAGAACCUCGUUCUGGUGGAGCACCAAGACGUACUUCCUCGCCCAGCGCCCCGGGGGGGCCCACCCCUCAUCCCAGUGGAGUCCGGCCUUUGGAAAUGCCCGAUCAAAGCAGUUCCUGAUAACCAAGGGGAGGACGGGAAAGCGAAUGAAAGCGAAUGGACUCUGUGGUGUAAGAUGAUUCCCGAAUACAAGCCCGAACACUGAUUUUCAUUGGCUCGGCGAUCCAGUAAUGCACACCUCUUCCUUGCCCCAGCACACGCAAUCUGCACCAACAGAGCCACGGUUGGCUGUUACCUCUGAUUCGAACGACUCGCACUUCCAAGCAAGAACUGUAUGAUCUGGGUCUUGAGAUGCAUUUGAAGGAAUGAAUACCUGUGGAAGAAGAAUAAGGACUUCCCUGUAAGGAUUUCAAAGUCAGUAAGGACCCGUGUGAACCUCCAGAAGACUGGGAGGAGACCGCAAAACACAGAUCGUCACACGGAAGCAGCAUUUCACUGCAGACCUCCUGCCACCGGGGACUGACCUCAUUGCUGAAAAAAAACUGUCCUGCUGCACUUCCUUACUUUCUCUGCAAAGAAACUCACCAUUCAGGAGCAGGGAAGAUGCUCUCUGGCUCGGGGAGCUGAGGAAUGCCCAUCCCAGGGGCUGGGAUCUCUGGUCCAGAUGAAAUUAGAAGAAAGUAGCCUUGCUCAGCAUCCCCAGGUGAGGUGCUAAUUUUACAGUAAUGGACUUAAACACCAGAUCAGCCCGGGUAAGGAGGCGUCUUUGUUCCUGGCUCAGACAAAGCCCAGCAGUUGGCCUUAAAAAUGGGGG
Molecule: long non-coding RNA, 1102 nt
Organism: Ornithorhynchus anatinus (platypus)
Lineage: Eukaryota; Metazoa; Chordata; Mammalia; Monotremata; Ornithorhynchidae
Exons: 5
Source: RefSeq, a predicted model, not a curated record